RNAcentral lists this ribosomal RNA (253 nucleotides) under uncultured archaeon. RNAcentral's name for it is "partial 16S ribosomal RNA". It matches the Rfam family "Archaeal small subunit ribosomal RNA", at positions 474 to 727 of the family's 1478-position model. The record is from RNAcentral.
AACCAGCACCUCAAGUGGUCAGGAUGAUUAUUGGGCCUAAAGCAUCCGUAGCCGGCUCUGUAAGUUUUCGGUUAAAUCUGUACGCUCAACGUACAGGCUGCCGGGAAUACUGCAGAGCUAGGGAGUGGGAGAGGUAGACGGUACUCGGUAGGAAGGGGUAAAAUCCUUUGAUCUAUUGAUGACCACCUGUGGCGAAAGCAGCCUCCUGGGGUGAAUCUGACAUUGAGGGACGAAAGCGUGGGUAGCAAACCGG